GACGAACGCUGGCGGCGUGCUUAACACAUGCAAGUCGAACGGAAACGCCCUGCUUGCUUGGGGUUCCCGAGUGGCGAAGGGGUGCGUAACAGGUGUGUAACCUGCUCUUGUCUUUGGGGUAACUUCAGGUAACUGGGGCUACUACAGGACAGGAGCCCCCGUUCCGGGGAGGGGGGUGGAACGUCUCGGCUGGCGGGGAUGGAUUCGCGGCUUACCGGCUUGCUGGUGGGGUAGUGGCUUACCAAGGCAUGGAAGGGUAGGCGGCCUGUGAGGGUGAACGGCCACAUUGGGACUGAGGGACGGCCCAGACUCGUACGGGAGGCAGCGGUGGGGAGUAUUACACAAUGGGCGGGAGCCUGAUGAGGCAACGCCGCGGUCGGGAUGACGGCCUUCGGGUUGUAAACCGCUUUAGCCUGUGACGAAGCGGGUGUGACGGUAAUGGGUAAAGAAGCACCGGCUAACUACGUG
RNAcentral lists this ribosomal RNA (468 nucleotides) under uncultured bacterium. RNAcentral describes it as "partial 16S ribosomal RNA". It matches the Rfam family "Bacterial small subunit ribosomal RNA", at positions 28 to 507 of the family's 1533-position model. The record is from RNAcentral.